Molecule: unclassified non-coding RNA, 239 nt
Filed under: Hevea brasiliensis (rubber tree)
Lineage: Eukaryota; Viridiplantae; Streptophyta; Magnoliopsida; Malpighiales; Euphorbiaceae
Source: RNAcentral
UAAGCUUUAUGAUGGAGGCUAAGUACAAGCUCAAAGAUACAAAAUUCAGUAGGGCCAGUUAACUGCCAAGUGCCAACGACAUGGUCCACCUAUUGACCUUUGGCGCCUCUCCUAUCACCUUCAACAUCUAAUCAUCUUGCUCAAUUGUUAGUGGGGUAUGUUUAAAAGUAGAGGAAGCCAAGAUUUGACAACAAGCACAGGAUUCCUUAUACCAAUUCACAUUAGUACUUGUUCAACAA